GCGGGCGUGGCGGAAUUGGUAGACGCGCUAGACUUAGGAUCUAGUGCCUAAUGGCGUGGGGGUUCGAGUCCCUUCGCCCGCA
This 82-nucleotide transfer RNA is filed under the name Draconibacterium sp. RNAcentral's name for it is "tRNA-Leu". It matches the Rfam family "tRNA". From Rfam's summary of the family: Transfer RNA (tRNA) molecules are approximately 80 nucleotides in length. The record is from RNAcentral. Lineage: Bacteria; Pseudomonadati; Bacteroidota; Bacteroidia; Marinilabiliales; Prolixibacteraceae.